ACCCAUAUAUUCCAAUGGACAGGAUAUCUGGCUUUCAUCCAGAAGGUCUGGGUUCAAUUCCCAGUAAGGGUU
RNAcentral lists this transfer RNA (72 nucleotides) under Seminavis robusta. It matches the Rfam family "tRNA". Rfam says of the family: Transfer RNA (tRNA) molecules are approximately 80 nucleotides in length. Their secondary structure includes four short double-helical elements and three loops (D, anti-codon, and T loops). The record is from Rfam by way of RNAcentral. Lineage: Eukaryota; Bacillariophyta; Bacillariophyceae; Naviculales; Naviculaceae.